GAUGAACGCUGGCGGUAUGCUUAACACAUGCAAGUCGAACGGACUCUUCGGAGUUAGUGGCGGACGGGUGAGUAACGCGUGAGAAUCUGGCUUUGGGUUCGGGACAACCACUGGAAACGGUGGCUAAUACCGGAUGUGCCAAGAGGUACAAGAGAAAUUGCCUGAAGAUGAGCUCGCGUCUGAUUAGCUAGUUGGUGAGGUAAAGGCUCACCAAGGCAGCGAUCAGUAGCUGGUCUGAGAGGAUGACCAGCCACACCGGGACUGAGACACGGCCCAGACUCCUACGGGAGGCAGCAGUGGGGAAUUUUCCGCAAUGGGCGAAAGCCUGACGGAGCAAUACCGCGUGAGGGAAGAAGGCUCUUGGGUUGUAAACCUCUUUGCUUAGGGAAGAACAAAAUGACGGUACCUAAGGAAUCAGCAUCGGCUAACUCCGUG
This 435-nucleotide ribosomal RNA is filed under the name uncultured bacterium. RNAcentral describes it as "partial 16S ribosomal RNA". It matches the Rfam family "Bacterial small subunit ribosomal RNA", at positions 28 to 507 of the family's 1533-position model. The record is from RNAcentral.